RNAcentral lists this small nuclear RNA (89 nucleotides) under Capra hircus (goat). The record is from RNAcentral. Lineage: Eukaryota; Metazoa; Chordata; Mammalia; Artiodactyla; Bovidae.
CAAAUACUAAAACUGGAAGGAUACAGAGAAGAUUAGCAUGACCCCUGCACAAGGAUGACAUGCAAAUUUGCAAAGCAUUUCAUAAAUUU